RNAcentral lists this ribosomal RNA (467 nucleotides) under uncultured bacterium. RNAcentral describes it as "bacterial SSU rRNA". It matches the Rfam family "Bacterial small subunit ribosomal RNA", at positions 333 to 793 of the family's 1533-position model. The record is from RNAcentral.
GCCAUCCUACGGGAGGCAGCAGUGGGGAAUAUUGCACAAUGGGCGCAAGCCUGAUGCAGCCAUGCCGCGUGUAUGAAGAAGGCCUUCGGGUUGUAAAGUACUUUCAGCAGUGAGGAAGGUGGGUAUGUUAAUAGCAUAUUCAUUUGACGUUAGCUGCAGAAGAAGCACCGGCUAACUCCGUGCCAGCAGCCGCGGUAAUACGGAGGGUGCGAGCGUUAAUCGGAAUUACUGGGCGUAAAGCGCAUGCAGGUGGUUUGUUAAGUCAGAUGUGAAAGCCCGGGGCUCAACCUCGGAAUUGCAUUUGAAACUGGCAAACUAGAGUACUGUAGAGGGGGUAGAAUUUCAGGUGUAGCGGUGAAAUGCGUAGAGAUCUGAAGGAAUACCGGUGGCGAAGGCGGCCCCCUGGACAGAUACUGACACUCAGAUGCGAAAGCGUGGGGAGCAAACAGGAUUAAAUACCCUGGUAG